AUGUCACCUCUGCGAUGCUGGAAUGUGCUGUCUUGGAACAUCAGAGGUCUGAAUUCGGAGAAGAAGCAGUGUGCCCUCUCUAAUGCCAUCAACACUAGUGGUUGUGCGGUGGUUUGCUUGCAGGAAACCAAAAUGCUUGAAGUUUCUUUUGCGUUCCUUAAAACUUGUUUCCCUAGACAAUUCGAUUGCUUUGCUUUUGUUCCUUCCCGCGGAUCAUCUGGUGGUAUUCUUACGGUUUGGAAAAGCGCUUUAUUUCGGGUACGGUUGUGUUUUCUGGCAUCUUUUCUCUAG
RNAcentral lists this ribosomal RNA (291 nucleotides) under Triticum aestivum (bread wheat). RNAcentral's name for it is "partial small subunit ribosomal RNA". Lineage: Eukaryota; Viridiplantae; Streptophyta; Magnoliopsida; Poales; Poaceae. The record is from RNAcentral.